GAUGAACGCUGGCGGCGUGCCUAAUACAUGCAAGUCGAGCGAACGGACGAGAAGCUUGCUUCUCUGAUGUUAGCGGCGGACGGGUGAGUAACACGUGGAUAACCUACCUAUAAGACUGGGAUAACUUCGGGAAACCGGAGCUAAUACCGGAUAAUAUUUUGAACCGCAUGGUUCAAAAGUGAAAGACGGUCUUGCUGUCACUUAUAGAUGGAUCCGCGCUGCAUUAGCUAGUUGGUAAGGUAACGGCUUACCAAGGCAACUAUGCAUAGCCGACCUGUGAGGGUGAUCGGCCACACGGGAGCGGAGACACGGUCCAGACUCCUACGGGAGGCAGCAGUAGGGAAUCUUCCGCAGUGGUCGAAAGCCUGACGGAGCAACGCCGCGUGAGUUAUGAAGGUCUUCGGAUCGUAAAACUCUGUUAUUAGGUAAGAACAUAUGUGUAAGUAACUGUGCACAGCUUGACGGUACCUAAUCAGAAAGCCACGGCUAACUACGUG
This 497-nucleotide ribosomal RNA is filed under the name uncultured bacterium. Its description in RNAcentral is "partial 16S ribosomal RNA". It matches the Rfam family "Bacterial small subunit ribosomal RNA", at positions 28 to 507 of the family's 1533-position model. The record is from RNAcentral.